GACGAACGCUGGCGGCGUGCUUAACACAUGCAAGUCGAACGGUGAAGCGCCUUCCUUUUUGGUGGGUGUGGAUGAGUGGCGAACGGGUGAGUAACACGUGAGUAACCUGCCCCCUUCUUCUGGAUAACCGCAUGAAAGUGUGGCUAAUACGGGAUAUUCUGGGUCUGUCGCAUGAUGGGUCUGGGAAAGAUAUUGUUUCGGUGGGGGAUGGGCUCGCGGCCUAUCAGCUUGUUGGUGGGGUGAUGGCCUACCAAGGCGGUGACGGGUAGCCGGCCUGGGGGGGUGGACGGUCACACUGGGACUGAGGCACGGCCCGGACUCCUACGGGGGGCAGCAGUGGGGAAUAGGGCACAAUGGGCGAAAGCCUGAUGCAGCGACGCCGCGUGAGGGAUGGAGGCCUGCGGGUUGUGAACCUCUUUCGCCAGUGAAGCAGGCCUGCCUCGUUUGUGGGUGGGUUGACGGUAGCUGGAUAAGAAGCGCCGGCUAACUACGUG
This 494-nucleotide ribosomal RNA is filed under the name uncultured bacterium. RNAcentral's name for it is "partial 16S ribosomal RNA". It matches the Rfam family "Bacterial small subunit ribosomal RNA", at positions 28 to 507 of the family's 1533-position model. The record is from RNAcentral.